Molecule: ribosomal RNA, 200 nt
Filed under: uncultured bacterium
Lineage: Bacteria
Description: partial 16S ribosomal RNA
Rfam family: Bacterial small subunit ribosomal RNA
Source: RNAcentral
AGUGAACGCUGGCGGCAGGCCUAACACAUGCAAGUCGAACGGCAGCACAGGAGAGCUUGCUCUCUGGGUGGCGAGUGGCGGACGGGUGAGGAAUGCGUCGGAACCUGCCGUAUUUGUGGGGGAUAACGUAGGGAAACUUACGCUAAUACCGCAUACGACCUACGGGUGAAAGUGGGGGACCGCGAAGGCCUCACGCAGAU